RNAcentral lists this ribosomal RNA (2896 nucleotides) under Escherichia coli. RNAcentral describes it as "23S ribosomal RNA". It matches the Rfam family "Bacterial large subunit ribosomal RNA". Lineage: Bacteria; Pseudomonadati; Pseudomonadota; Gammaproteobacteria; Enterobacterales; Enterobacteriaceae. The record is from RNAcentral.
UUAAGCGACUAAGCGUACACGGUGGAUGCCCUGGCAGUCAGAGGCGAUGAAGGACGUGCUAAUCUGCGAUAAGCGUCGGUGAGGUGAUAUGAACCGUUAUAACCGGCGAUUUCCGAAUGGGGAAACCCAGUGUGUUUCGACACACUAUCAUUAACUGAAUCCAUAGGUUAAUGAGGCGAACCGGGGGAACUGAAACAUCUAAGUACCCCGAGGAAAAGAAAUCAACCGAGAUUCCCCCAGUAGCGGCGAGCGAACGGGGAGGAGCCCAGAGCCUGAAUCAGUGUGUGUGUUAGUGGAAGCGUCUGGAAAGGCGCGCGAUACAGGGUGACAGCCCCGUACACAAAAAUGCACAUAUUGUGAGCUCGAUGAGUAGGGCGGGACACGUGGUAUCCUGUCUGAAUAUGGGGGGACCAUCCUCCAAGGCUAAAUACUCCUGACUGACCGAUAGUGAACCAGUACCGUGAGGGAAAGGCGAAAAGAACCCCGGCGAGGGGAGUGAAAAAGAACCUGAAACCGUGUACGUACAAGCAGUGGGAGCCUCUUAAUGGGGUGACUGCGUACCUUUGUAUAAUGGGUCAGCGACUUAUAUUCUGUAGCAAGGUUAACCGAAUAGGGGAGCCGAAGGGAAACCGAGUCUUAACUGGGCGUUAAGUUGCAGGGUAUAGACCCGAAACCCGGUGAUCUAGCCAUGGGCAGGUUGAAGGUUGGGUAACACUAACUGGAGGACCGAACCGACUAAUGUUGAAAAAUUAGCGGAUGACUUGUGGCUGGGGGUGAAAGGCCAAUCAAACCGGGAGAUAGCUGGUUCUCCCCGAAAGCUAUUUAGGUAGCGCCUCGUGAAUUCAUCUCCGGGGGUAGAGCACUGUUUCGGCAAGGGGGUCAUCCCGACUUACCAACCCGAUGCAAACUGCGAAUACCGGAGAAUGUUAUCACGGGAGACACACGGCGGGUGCUAACGUCCGUCGUGAAGAGGGAAACAACCCAGACCGCCAGCUAAGGUCCCAAAGUCAUGGUUAAGUGGGAAACGAUGUGGGAAGGCCCAGACAGCCAGGAUGUUGGCUUAGAAGCAGCCAUCAUUUAAAGAAAGCGUAAUAGCUCACUGGUCGAGUCGGCCUGCGCGGAAGAUGUAACGGGGCUAAACCAUGCACCGAAGCUGCGGCAGCGACACUAUGUGUUGUUGGGUAGGGGAGCGUUCUGUAAGCCUGUGAAGGUGUACUGUGAGGUAUGCUGGAGGUAUCAGAAGUGCGAAUGCUGACAUAAGUAACGAUAAAGCGGGUGAAAAGCCCGCUCGCCGGAAGACCAAGGGUUCCUGUCCAACGUUAAUCGGGGCAGGGUGAGUCGACCCCUAAGGCGAGGCCGAAAGGCGUAGUCGAUGGGAAACAGGUUAAUAUUCCUGUACUUGGUGUUACUGCGAAGGGGGGACGGAGAAGGCUAUGUUGGCCGGGCGACGGUUGUCCCGGUUUAAGCGUGUAGGCUGGUUUUCCGUGCAAAUCCGGAAAAUCAAGGCUGAGGCGUGAUGACGAGGCACUACGGUGCUGAAGCGACAAAUGCCCUGCUUCCAGGAAAAGCCUCUAAGCAUCAGGUAACAUCAAAUCGUACCCCAAACCGACACAGGUGGUCAGGUAGAGAAUACCAAGGCGCUUGAGAGAACUCGGGUGAAGGAACUAGGCAAAAUGGUGCCGUAACUUCGGGAGAAGGCACGCUGAUAUGUAGGUGAAGCGACUUGCUCGUGGAGCUGAAAUCAGUCGAAGAUACCAGCUGGCUGCAACUGUUUAUUAAAAACACAGCACUGUGCAAACACGAAAGUGGACGUAUACGGUGUGACGCCUGCCCGGUGCCGGAAGGUUAAUUGAUGGGGUUAGCGGUAACGCGAAGCUCUUGAUCGAAGCCCGGUAAACGGCGGCCGUAACUAUAACGGUCCUAAGGUAGCGAAAUUCCUUGUCGGGUAAGUUCCGACCUGCACGAAUGGCGUAAUGAUGGCGAGGCUGUCUCCACCCGAGACUCAGUGAAAUUGAACUCGCUGUGAAGAUGCAGUGUACCCGCGGCAAGACGGAAAGACCCCGUGAACCUUUACUAUAGCUUGACACUGAACAUUGAGCCUUGAUGUGUAGGAUAGGUGGGAGGCUUUGAAGUGUGGACGCCAGUCUGCAUGGAGCCGACCUUGAAAUACCACCCUUUAAUGUUUGAUGUUCUAACGUGGGCCCCUUACCGGGGUUGCGGACAGUGUCUGGUGGGUAGUUUGACUGGGGCGGUCCUCCUAAAGAGUAACGGAGGAGCACGAAGGUUGGCUAAUCUGGUCGGACAUCAGGAGGUUAGUGCAAUGGCAUAAGCCAGCUUGACUGCGAGCGUGACGGCGCGAGCAGGUGCGAAAGCAGGUCAUAGUGAUCCGGUGGUUCUGAAUGGAAGGGCCAUCGCUCAACGGAUAAAAGGUACUCCGGGGAUAACAGGCUGAUACCGCCCAAGAGUUCAUAUCGACGGCGGUGUUUGGCACCUCGAUGUCGGCUCAUCACAUCCUGGGGCUGAAGUAGGUCCCAAGGGUAUGGCUGUUCGCCAUUUAAAGUGGUACGCGAGCUGGGUUUAGAACGUCGUGAGACAGUUCGGUCCCUAUCUGCCGUGGGCGCUGGAGAACUGAGGGGGGCUGCUCCUAGUACGAGAGGACCGGAGUGGACGCAUCACUGGUGUUCGGGUUGUCAUGCCAAUGGCACUGCCCGGUAGCUAAAUGCGGAAGAGAUAAGUGCUGAAAGCAUCUAAGCACGAAACUUGCCCCGAGAUGAGUUCUCCCUGACUCCUUGAGAGUCCUGAAGGAACGUUGAAGACGACGACGUUGAUAGGCCGGGUGUGUAAGCGCAGCGAUGCGUUGAGCUAACCGGUACUAAUGAACCGUGAGGCUUAACCU